This is a long non-coding RNA of Peromyscus eremicus (cactus mouse), 623 nucleotides long. RefSeq lists it as uncharacterized. The record is from RefSeq and is a predicted model, not a curated record. NCBI's taxonomy places the organism in Eukaryota, Metazoa, Chordata, Mammalia, Rodentia, Cricetidae. The transcript is spliced from 5 exons.
GUGAGGUCACGUGACACACGGGAGACCUCCGACAAGCUGUCAGUUUCCCAGUGACUUUGCAAGUGGAGAAUGGAACCACCAGGCUCCGCAGGACGCUGCGGCCGGAGGCCACACUACUGCCAUUUACCAAGAUGAUAUCACACCAAGGAAAGGAAGUUAGAUCUUUUAAGGGGUCUCUGAUAAGGAGUCUGAGCUGACACUGAUGACGAGGACAAGAAAAGUCACCAUGGCUUUUGAUGAUUCAAUUAGGAGGACUUCUUCCAUACUUUAAAGUAGUUUGAAAUUGUCCAGUGUUACUUUCACAUCAGUAGGGAUAUCGCCUUGUCAAGAUAUGUGCACAUGAAAAGGGGUAUACAGUUUUACUCUACUGAGGAAGCACAAUUUGGCAAAGCACCUGUUCUGAAAAGCUGUUUUGCACAUGGAGGAUUAAGUGGGAAGGCCCGAGAGCCCCCAUUCCUGUCUGCUGUAGACCUUCAACCUGGUGGAUUUCACAGCUAUCUCUAUUGAACAAGGAACCUUUUAUGAAGCUUGAACAAUGAAGAUACUUAGACUAGACUACAAAUCACCAGUGUAUAGAUAACCCUUAGUUAACAAUAUAUUAUUCUUACUUGAGAUUUAUUUUU